CACCUUGUCUUUUUUCCUAACCUCAUGCAGACAUGAAGGAAACUAUAUCCUGGGAAAAUGGAAGAUGGCAACACAUUAGUGAAAAUGUCAUUGGAAAGGUGCACUGCCCCAGAGCUAUGUUGCUGAAAUUUCUAAGCCUUUCUUUAAUAGCCUUCUUGGGUCCCUAAGCAGGGAGGUUUUGGAUGAAUUCUCCCCAGCCGUGGUAUGCCAUUGUCUGAUUCUUCCAGCCAAAAUUUACAACAACAAAUAAAAAACAGUGGAUCCUUACGAGAAAUUUUUUCCUGGGAAAGCCAUAU
RNAcentral lists this long non-coding RNA (296 nucleotides) under Homo sapiens (human). Its description in RNAcentral is "HSALNT0244557". The record is from RNAcentral. Lineage: Eukaryota; Metazoa; Chordata; Mammalia; Primates; Hominidae.